UGGGGAAUUUUGGACAAUGGGGGCAACCCUGAUCCAGCCAUGCCGCGUGAGUGAAGAAGGCCUUCGGGUUGUAAAGCUCUUUCAGCCGGAACGAAACGGUCACGGUUAAUAACCGUGACUACUGACGGUACCGGAAGAAGAAGCACCGGCUAACUACGUGCCAGCAGCCGCGGUAAUACGUAGGGUGCGAGCGUUAAUCGGAAUUACUGGGCGUAAAGCGUGCGCAGGCGGUUUUGUAAGUCAGAUGUGAAAUCCCCGGGCUUAACCUGGGAACUGCGUUUGAAACUACAAGGCUAGAGUGUGGCAGAGGGGGGUGGAAUUCCACGUGUAGCAGUGAAAUGCGUAGAGAUGUGGAGGAACACCGAUGGCGAAGGCAGCCCCCUGGGUUAACACUGACGCUCAGGCACGAAAGCGUGGGGAGCAAACAGG
This 429-nucleotide ribosomal RNA is filed under the name uncultured bacterium. Its description in RNAcentral is "bacterial SSU rRNA". It matches the Rfam family "Bacterial small subunit ribosomal RNA", at positions 355 to 776 of the family's 1533-position model. The record is from RNAcentral.